RNAcentral lists this ribosomal RNA (484 nucleotides) under Photobacterium ganghwense. Its description in RNAcentral is "bacterial LSU rRNA". It matches the Rfam family "Bacterial large subunit ribosomal RNA", at positions 1 to 528 of the family's 2925-position model. The record is from RNAcentral. Lineage: Bacteria; Pseudomonadati; Pseudomonadota; Gammaproteobacteria; Vibrionales; Vibrionaceae.
GUUGUAUGGUUAAGUGACUAAGCGUACACGGUGGAUGCCUGGGCAGUCAGAGGCGAUGAAGGACGUACUAACUUGCGAUAAGCGUAGAUGAGGCAGUAAGAGCCACUUGAGUCUACGAUUUCCGAAUGGGGAAACCCAGCUGCAUAAGCAGUUAUCAUCAAGUGAAUACAUAGCUUGAUGAGGCGAACCGGGGGAACUGAAACAUCUAAGUACCCCGAGGAAGAGAAAUCAACCGAGAUUCCGGCAGUAGCGGCGAGCGAAACCGGAUUAGCCCUUAAGCGCUUUAGGUGUCAGGCGAAUGAGCUGGAAAGCUCAGCGAUACAGGGUGACAGCCCCGUAGCCGACAACACAUUUGGCGUGAAAACGAGUAGGACGGGACACGUGUUAUCUUGUCUGAAGAUGGGGGGACCAUCCUCCAAGGCUAAAUACUCCUGACUGACCGAUAGUGAACCAGUACCGUGAGGGAAAGGCGAAAAGAACCCCU